UAAGAACACUUGUAAUAUAAUUCAGUUGAAAACAUAAAAUAAUUAGCCUUUGAAUUUAAAAUCUUCAAUAUCAACCAUCAAAUUCUUUCUUAUUUGUCGCUAAAGGUCCGUUUGUUUUGGUGUAAGUCGGGUGAUGGAACUCAAGUUCCAUCACUUUUGUUAUUUGUUCUGAUGUAAGUCAAUAAUAUAAUGUAACUCAAGUUACGUUAAACCUCCACUUCACAUAUUCCCGACUUCUUCCUUUAAAGUGCCGAACUCGACUUCCACCACACUCAACCUCCUCUAAAAAAUUUAUUAAAUAGUAAAACCUAAACUCUACUUCCUUUAUAAUGGGUUAGAAUUAUCUUAUUUAUAAUAAAUUAGAAUUAACUUUAAAUAAUAAAAAAAAAUUUAAUUAUAUAAUAGGUUAAAAUUUAUAGUGCUAAAUUUACAAUUAUAUUUAGGAGAUAACAGGACCCACUUAGUUAUAUCAAAAUAAACAACGGAAUUCAAAAAACUAAUUUUAUCAGUACCAAGUUACAUCAAAACAAACAGAAGAAAUAAUUAAAUUUAAUUUUUAGUCUGUACGAGUUGCGUUAAAACAAAUAACAGAAAAAUAAUCACACUUUAGAAAAAGGGAAAACUUCAAAAAACCCCCUGUGGUUUCGUGCAUUCUCACUUUGCUACCUGUGUUUUAAAACGUAUCAAUUUACCCCCCUGUGGUUUCAUUUUUAUCUUUUCGGAAGCUUUUUCGUUAAUAUUUCGUUAAAUUAUAUACAAAAAACUUCAGAUAACCAUCUAUAUUUAUCGAAUAGUCACUUUAGUAUCCUUUAAUUUUAACUUUGUCACUGAUUUUUAAAAAAAAUAAUAAUAAAAUUGAUAACAAAAAGAUAAAAACGAAACCACAGGGGGGCAAAAUGAUACGUUUUAAACCACAGGGUAGCAAAGUGAGAAUGCACGAAACCACAGGGGGGGUUUUUGAAGUUUUCCCAAAGAAAAACUCAAACACCACUGCACUUGACUUACGUUGGAUCUAUAAAUUCGUUAAUCCAAACGUCCCCUAAUUGUAACUUUGCUGUAACUUUUGUUUGUUUUU
RNAcentral lists this long non-coding RNA (1075 nucleotides) under Ananas comosus (pineapple). RNAcentral's name for it is "long non-coding RNA (ACOM_LNC006293)". The record is from RNAcentral. Lineage: Eukaryota; Viridiplantae; Streptophyta; Magnoliopsida; Poales; Bromeliaceae.